GUUGUUGUGAAGGUGUUCUGUUGUUGUUGUGAAGGUGUUCUGUUGUUGUUGUGAAGGUGUUCUGUUGUUGUUGUGAAGGUGUUCUGUUGUUGUGAAGGUGUUCUGUUGUUGUUGUGAAGGUGUUCUGUUGUUGUUGUGAAGGUGUUCUGUUGUUGUGAAGGUGUUCUGUUGUUGUGAAGGUGUUCUGUUGUUGUGAAGGUGUUCUGUUGUUGUGAAGGUGUUCUGUUGUUGUGAAGGUGUUCUGUUGUUGUUGUGAAGGUGUUCUGUUGUUGUUGUGAAGGUGUUCUGUUGUUGUGAAGGUGUUCUGUUGUUGUUGUGAAGGUGUUCUGUUGUUGUUGUGAAGGUGUUCUGUUGUUGUUGUGAAGGUGUUCUGUUGUUGUUGUGAAGGUGUUCUGUUGUUGUGAAGGUGUUCUGUUGUUGUUGUGAAGGUGUUCUGUUGUUGUUGUGAAGGUGUUCUGUUGUUGUGAAGGUGUUCUGUUGUUGUUGUGAAGGUGUUCUGUUGUUGUUGUGAAGGUGUUCUGUUGUUGUUGUGAAGGUGUUCUGUUGUUGUUGUGAAGGUGUUCUGUUGUUGUUGUGAAGGUGUUCUGUUGUUGUGAAGGUGUUCUGUUGUUGUUGUGAAGGUGUUCUGUUGUUGUUGUGAAGGUGUUCUGUUGUUGUUUUGAAGGUGUUCUGUUGUUGUUGUGAAGGUGUUCUGUUGUUGUGAAGGUGUUCUGUUGUUGUUGUGAAGGUGUUCUGUUGUUGUGAAGGUGUUCUGUUGUUGUGAAGGUGUUCUAGGUUACGUGAUAAAGGUUGUUGUUGUUGUUGUGAAGGUGGCGUUCUGUGAUUCGUCGAUUGGAUUCCUGGUGACGUCUGGGUCGGUGGUGCUGGAUCUGAAAAAGGGAGACGAGGUGUCUCUACAGCCCACAGAAAACAACGCUAUCAUCACUAAAGACGAACGAGCUGACAACACCUUCACCGGCUUCCUGAUCUUGCCCAGCUCAUAGAACCACACAGAACCUUCACCGGCCACACAGAACCACACAGAACCACACAGAACCUUCACCGGCCACACAGAACCACACAGAACCACACAGAACCACUUUGAAUGAGCUCAAACCAGAUUCAACCAGAUCUAAUCUUGGUUGCCUAAGAAGUAACAUUUUGUCACUUCCUGUUUUACUUCAAUUUAGAAUUUGUAGGUGUGGUAUCUAGCGGAAACCUUUUAUCAUCCGCACGCGGGUUUGAAAUCUCAGCCCCAGUUUAAUCACCGCUUUCGCCCAAUCCUGAUUCUAUCAAAUAAUCAAUGAUGAAAACCCCAAACCAGGAACUACUGCUGCUCGUAAUCACAUCAUUCUACGUGAGCCUUGACAGAUGGUUGCCGUUUACACGCAGAAUCUGUCCGCGAGAGAUUAAACCAGAUCCCACCUGCUGAAACCAGCUUCCUGCUCUUCCACACCACAUAAAAUACAUAUCAUAGCCACCUCAUUCUGCUCUAGAAGCAUCUGCAGCACAACCAACCAUCUCUGUGUCUGCCUCCCUGUCUAUACUGCUAAUAAAAUACAUAUCAUAGCCACCUCGUUCUGCUCUAGAAGCAUCUGCAGCACAGCCAACCAUCUCCGUGUCUGUGUCUGCCUCCCUGUCUGUACUGCUGCUGCUGCUUGCUGAGACAGUUCAUCAAUCAAUCAAUCAAUUAAUUAAUUCAUUUCCCCAGGUCGUUGUUGUAAAUGAGAACAUAUUCUCAGUCAACUCACCUGAUAAAAAAUAAGGAAUACAUUUAAAAUAAAUCAAAUAAUCAAUCAUGUAUUGCAUCUGCAUCUGCUGAGCUGCCUACCAAAACUAAAAGAUAUCAUUUUGGAAAUGAAUUUUCAAUCAAUAAAGUGAUUUGUUACCA
Salvelinus fontinalis (brook trout) is the source of this 1870-nucleotide long non-coding RNA. RefSeq lists it as uncharacterized. NCBI's taxonomy places the organism in Eukaryota, Metazoa, Chordata, Actinopteri, Salmoniformes, Salmonidae. The record is from RefSeq and is a predicted model, not a curated record. The transcript has 2 exons.